RNAcentral lists this transfer RNA (85 nucleotides) under Novipirellula aureliae. RNAcentral's name for it is "Planctomycetes bacterium Q31b tRNA-Thr". The record is from RNAcentral. Lineage: Bacteria; Pseudomonadati; Planctomycetota; Planctomycetia; Pirellulales; Pirellulaceae.
GUCGGAUUGAUAGACGGCAUAGCCGCGGCGGUCUUGUGCACCGCCGUCAACACAGCCCUGCGGCAUUCGAUGUACCGAGCCGACG